This 492-nucleotide ribosomal RNA is filed under the name uncultured bacterium. RNAcentral's name for it is "partial 16S ribosomal RNA". It matches the Rfam family "Bacterial small subunit ribosomal RNA", at positions 29 to 507 of the family's 1533-position model. The record is from RNAcentral.
AGUGAACGCUGGCGGUAGGCCUAACACAUGCAAGUCGAACGGCAGCACAGUAAGAGCUUGCUCUUACGGGUGGCGAGUGGCGGACGGGUGAGGAAUACAUCGGAAUCUACUUUUUCGUGGGGGAUAACGUAGGGAAACUUACGCUAAUACCGCAUACGACCUACGGGUGAAAGCAGGGGAUCUUCGGACCUUGCGCGAUUGAAUGAGCCGAUGUCGGAUUAGCUAGUUGGCGGGGUAAAGGCCCACCAAGGCGACGAUCCGUAGCUGGUCUGAGAGGAUGAUCAGCCACACUGGAACUGAGACACGGUCCAGACUCCUACGGGAGGCAGCAGUGGGGAAUAUUGGACAAAGGGCGCAAGCCUGAUCCAGCCAUACCGCGUGGGUGAAGAAGGCCUUCGGGUUGCAAAGCCCUUUUGUUGGGAAAGAAAAGCAGCAGGUUAAUACCCCGCUGUUCUGACGGUACCCAAAGAAUAAGCACCGGCUAACUUCGUG